This is a non-coding RNA of Pelobates cultripes (western spadefoot toad), 323 nucleotides long. The record is from the annotation of a GenBank genome assembly. Lineage: Eukaryota; Metazoa; Chordata; Amphibia; Anura; Pelobatidae.
CACUAGUCACCCCCUCACUCUAGUGACAGAGUGAGGGAGGGGGUGACUAGUGACAGAGUGAGAGAGAGGGUGACUAGUGACAGAGUGAGGAAGGGGGUGACACAGUGACAGAGUGAGGGAGGGGGUGACUAGUGACAGAGUGAAGGAGGUGGUGACUGUCACUAGUCACCCCCUCCCUCUCUCUGUCACUAGUGACCCCCUCCCUCUCUCUGUCACUAGUGACACCCUCCCUCACUCUGUCACUAGUCACCCCCUCCCUCACUGUCACUAGUCACCCCCUCCCUCUCUCUGUCUGUCACUAGUCACCCCCUCCCUCUCUCUGU